CCUACGGGCGGCAGCAGUGAGGAAUAUUGGUCAAUGGGCGCGAGCCUGAACCAGCCAAGUAGCGUGAAGGAUGACUGCCCUACGGGUUGUAAACUUCUUUUAUAAAGGAAUAAAGUGAGGCACGUGUGCCUUUUUGUAUGUACUUUAUGAAUAAGGAUCGGCUAACUCCGUGCCAGCAGCCGCGGUAAUACGGAGGAUUCGAGCGUUAUCCGGAUUUAUUGGGUUUAAAGGGUGCGUAGAUGGGUUGUUAAGUCAGUUGUGAAAGUUUGCGGCUCAACCGUAAGACUGCAAUUGAUACUGGCAGCCUUGAGUGCAGUUGAGGUAGGCGGAAUUCGUGGUGUAGCGGUGAAAUGCUUAGAUAUCACGAAGAACUCCGAUUGCGAAGGCAGCUUACUAAACUGCCACUGACAUUGAGGCUCGAAAGUGUGGGUAUCAAACAGGAUUAGAUACCCUGGUAGUC
RNAcentral lists this ribosomal RNA (460 nucleotides) under uncultured bacterium. RNAcentral's name for it is "partial 16S ribosomal RNA". It matches the Rfam family "Bacterial small subunit ribosomal RNA", at positions 338 to 795 of the family's 1533-position model. The record is from RNAcentral.